RNAcentral lists this ribosomal RNA (2901 nucleotides) under Shigella flexneri 2747-71. RNAcentral describes it as "23S ribosomal RNA". Lineage: Bacteria; Pseudomonadati; Pseudomonadota; Gammaproteobacteria; Enterobacterales; Enterobacteriaceae. The record is from RNAcentral.
AAGGUUAAGCCUCACGGUUCAUUAGUACCGGUUAGCUCAACGCAUCGCUGCGCUUACACACCCGGCCUAUCAACGUCGUCGUCUUCAACGUUCCUUCAGGACCCUUAAAGGGUCAGGGAGAACUCAUCUCGGGGCAAGUUUCGUGCUUAGAUGCUUUCAGCACUUAUCUCUUCCGCAUUUAGCUACCGGGCAGUGCCAUUGGCAUGACAACCCGAACACCAGUGAUGCGUCCACUCCGGUCCUCUCGUACUAGGAGCAGCCCCCCUCAGUUCUCCAGCGCCCACGGCAGAUAGGGACCGAACUGUCUCACGACGUUCUAAACCCAGCUCGCGUACCACUUUAAAUGGCGAACAGCCAUACCCUUGGGACCUACUUCAGCCCCAGGAUGUGAUGAGCCGACAUCGAGGUGCCAAACACCGCCGUCGAUAUGAACUCUUGGGCGGUAUCAGCCUGUUAUCCCCGGAGUACCUUUUAUCCGUUGAGCGAUGGCCCUUCCAUUCAGAACCACCGGAUCACUAUGACCUGCUUUCGCACCUGCUCGCGCCGUCACGCUCGCAGUCAAGCUGGCUUAUGCCAUUGCACUAACCUCCUGAUGUCCGACCAGGAUUAGCCAACCUUCGUGCUCCUCCGUUACUCUUUAGGAGGAGACCGCCCCAGUCAAACUACCCACCAGACACUGUCCGCAACCCGGAUCACGGGUCCACGUUAGAACAUCAAACAUUAAAGGGUGGUAUUUCAAGGUCGGCUCCAUGCAGACUGGCGUCCACACUUCAAAGCCUCCCACCUAUCCUACACAUCAAGGCUCAAUGUUCAGUGUCAAGCUAUAGUAAAGGUUCACGGGGUCUUUCCGUCUUGCCGCGGGUACACUGCAUCUUCACAGCGAGUUCAAUUUCACUGAGUCUCGGGUGGAGACAGCCUGGCCAUCAUUACGCCAUUCGUGCAGGUCGGAACUUACCCGACAAGGAAUUUCGCUACCUUAGGACCGUUAUAGUUACGGCCGCCGUUUACCGGGGCUUCGAUCAAGAGCUUCGCUUGCGCUAACCCCAUCAAUUAACCUUCCGGCACCGGGCAGGCGUCACACCGUAUACGUCCACUUUCGUGUUUGCACAGUGCUGUGUUUUUAAUAAACAGUUGCAGCCAGCUGGUAUCUUCGACUGAUUUCAGCUCCACGAGCAAGUCGCUUCACCUACGUAUCAGCGUGCCUUCUCCCGAAGUUACGGCACCAUUUUGCCUAGUUCCUUCACCCGAGUUCUCUCAAGCGCCUUGGUAUUCUCUACCUGACCACCUGUGUCGGUUUGGGGUACGAUUUGAUGUUACCUGAUGCUUAGAGGCUUUUCCUGGAAGCAGGGCAUUUGUUGCUUCAGCACCGUAGUGCCUCGUCAUCACGCCUCGGCCUUGAUUUUCCGGAUUUGCCUGGAAAACCAGCCUACACGCUUAAACCGGGACAACCGUCGCCCGGCCAACAUAGCCUUCUCCGUCCCCCCUUCGCAGUAACACCAAGUACAGGAAUAUUAACCUGUUUCCCAUCGACUACGCCUUUCGGCCUCGCCUUAGGGGUCGACUCACCCUGCCCCGAUUAACGUUGGACAGGAACCCUUGGUCUUCCGGCGAGCGGGCUUUUCACCCGCUUUAUCGUUACUUAUGUCAGCAUUCGCACUUCUGAUACCUCCAGCAUACCUCACAGCACACCUUCACAGGCUUACAGAACGCUCCCCUACCCAACAACGCAUAAGCGUCGCUGCCGCAGCUUCGGUGCAUGGUUUAGCCCCGUUACAUCUUCCGCGCAGGCCGACUCGACCAGUGAGCUAUUACGCUUUCUUUAAAUGAUGGCUGCUUCUAAGCCAACAUCCUGGCUGUCUGGGCCUUCCCACAUCGUUUCCCACUUAACCAUGACUUUGGGACCUUAGCUGGCGGUCUGGGUUGUUUCCCUCUUCACGACGGACGUUAGCACCCGCCGUGUGUCUCCCGUGAUAACAUUCUCCGGUAUUCGCAGUUUGCAUCGGGUUGGUAAGUCGGGAUGACCCCCUUGCCGAAACAGUGCUCUACCCCCGGAGAUGAAUUCACGAGGCGCUACCUAAAUAGCUUUCGGGGAGAACCAGCUAUCUCCCGGUUUGAUUGGCCUUUCACCCCCAGCCACAAGUCAUCCGCUAAUUUUUCAACAUUAGUCGGUUCGGUCCUCCAGUUAGUGUUACCCAACCUUCAACCUGCCCAUGGCUAGAUCACCGGGUUUCGGGUCUAUACCCUGCAACUUAACGCCCAGUUAAGACUCGGUUUCCCUUCGGCUCCCCUAUUCGGUUAACCUUGCUACAGAAUAUAAGUCGCUGACCCAUUAUACAAAAGGUACGCAGUCACACGCCUAAGCGUGCUCCCACUGCUUGUACGUACACGGUUUCAGGUUCUUUUUCACUCCCCUCGCCGGGGUUCUUUUCGCCUUUCCCUCACGGUACUGGUUCACUAUCGGUCAGUCAGGAGUAUUUAGCCUUGGAGGAUGGUCCCCCCAUAUUCAGACAGGAUACCACGUGUCCCGCCCUACUCAUCGAGCUCACAGUAUGUGCAUUUUUGUGUACGGGGCUGUCACCCUGUAUCGCACGCCUUUCCAGACGCUUCCACUAACACACACACUGAUUCAGGCUCUGGGCUGCUCCCCGUUCGCUCGCCGCUACUGGGGGAAUCUCGGUUGAUUUCUUUUCCUCGGGGUACUUAGAUGUUUCAGUUCCCCGGUUCGCCUCAUUAACCUAUGGAUUCAGUUAAUGAUAGUGUGACGAAUCACACUGGGUUUCCCCAUUCGGAAAUCGCCGGUUAUAACGGUUCAUAUCACCUUACCGACGCUUAUCGCAGAUUAGCACGUCCUUCAUCGCCUCUGACUGCCAGGGCAUCCACCGUGUACGCUUAGUCGCUUAA